GGCUACCGGUACCGGAAGGUGGAAACCGAAAUGGAUGAAUGAAAUUGCGAUGGUCAGGAUGGUUGCUGGCGAUUCGGGUAUUUUCAGGCGAAGGUUGUUUUCAGUCGAAUUCCAGACGGAAAGUUUUGAGCAUUGAGGGACGAGAGAGAGAGAGAGAGAUAGAGAGACAGCCGAAGUGCUGGUGCUGGUUGAAAAGCGAUUCACAUUGACAAUGCUCAAAGGUUAUUCACCGGUUGGGCAACGUUGGGCGACGUUGGUCCAAGGCGGAGUAUUGCAGUCACGAUUUGGUUUGCUUUAUUAUUGGAAUGGUUGCUUUUGGCAAAGGCUCCGUGUCCACACAUUAACUACAUUUUUUGUGUUAAUCCAGCUCGAUGAGAGGACUAGUUUUACAGUGUGUUAUAAUUAUGCUAACAAUUCCUGUUUAUUUUACUGAUUGUGUUUAAACCAACAGACAGAAAUUUCAAAUUUUACUGAACCGGCUCACAGUUUUCCCAUGCAGCGGAUGUUCCAAUGCAGGCUUUGUAGUGCGAGCAGUGCUAUGUGAAUUUAAUUGUUGCACCAUUACUACCGUUCGUAUUACUACCGUACGCUGUCACCGCAACCCCUUCCCUCGAGGUUUUCAAACAAACUGACCAAAGGACAUCGCCGGUGAACAAAAUGGUACGAUUGUAGCAAUAAAGAUAACGAACACGCAAAGUUCAUGUAGCCGAUGAAAGCAUGUGUAGCGUUGGUCUGCUUUGUUUUUCUUUUGCUUCCGGGUGUCCGAUACGUUCUUCAUGCCACACGCUUUGCCCGAACCUUUUGAUCCUUUGCGUUGCGCGUUUUUUUUUUGUUCAAACUGUUUCAAUGCGUGACUGACUGUUCGUACUAUCCCUCUCAAACUUUGUUCAAGACUACCGCUAUGGUUUGACCAUUUCCGAGGUGAGCUACUGAGGGGAAUGUUUUUAUUCCCACACUCCUCAACCAGCUGGACGCACCGCGGCGGACAAAACGUUCAUUUCCUUUCCCAUUUUCAGCGUGCUGCCGCCUUCCUGCUUGAGCGGGCGGGAAAAUCUAACCAAACCUUGAAGCGAUUUUCCGUGUUGUUGUUUUGGUUGUGUCGGUUCAAUUCCAAUGCCGGUGUCCCUUCUCGAGUCGAAAAAAAAACACACACACACCACGUGACAAGCACGACUGGACAGAUAAACAUCGAGCUAGGCUCGGUACUCUUCGCAUCCUUGUGGAAGUGAUGAAGAAGUGUUUUGGUCUGUCGGCGGCGAUGAUAAUAGCCGUUGGCUAGCUAGGCUCUUUCGAUUUCAAGGAUCCGUCCAGAAAGGUUUUGUUUGGGUUUGGAUGAGAAUAGUUUUUUGUUGCCGUUGUGGUCUAUCACUGUGCGUGUUGGUGCGGCUAUCCUGUGAGACCCUCACAUGGCACUUGUCUUCAAGUUGCUCUUUACGGGGUGUUUCAGAACUUUUUUUUAUCAGUUUUUUUUUUCGGGAAGAAGAGUAUAAAAAGACAAAGAAAAUGAUCACAGAGGCGCUCAGUAAGCUUUAAUUUAAGGACCUAUGUGUACGUUUGAGGCGUACGCCUGUUGAUACGUUUAAUGUUUGUAUGUUUUUGUUCGAUGGCGUCACUUUGUUUAUCUUUAGCACCACGAAACAGUGCAAUGUCAAUAACAUAGUGCGUUACUGAGUUAAUUUAUUUCAAGUGAUGUUGACUCCAUUUCACAUAACAACAUCGUUCAAAUUCCAAACCACUUACUGCGUGGAUAAGAAAAAGAUUUAAUCUUGAAUUGAAUUUUAAAAUAUAUUAUUUUUAAGUGAUACGACCAACUAGCCCGUUCUAACGAGAAAUAGGAAACAAUAUUUCCAACCUGUUUGAAUCCCAUCAUUAAGAGUAGGUGUGAAUAUCUUUUACAAAGAUUAACACUCCUCAAAAUCAUAAACUGCUACCGAGCAUAAAGAGCAGAUUACACAACUGCCAUUCAUUGUUCUUUGGGUACACCCCACAGAUGUGAAACAUGCUGACCCGCUUGGACACGUGCCAUCCUACCCUUAGACUAAACAAAAUCACUCUUGUUCAACCCGUAACGAAACCACCCGUUACGCGUGGUAUAAAAAGCGCCCUAAUUAAAAUAAUAUUUCAACCCUUUCAAUGCUAACAUACCGACGACGACCACUGUAACUGAGCAAACCCUUCGGGCGAUGUGCUCAUUUGUCCAGCGGAAGAAUAAAAAGGCAAAUACAUCGGCAAACAUACCCUCGGGCACACAGCAGCAGCUAGAAACGAUGACCAAGGAGAAUGAAAAUCUUUAAUGACUGGUCUUUCCGUGUUCUUCAUUUGUGUACACGCAGGAAGAAGGAAAUCUUACAACGGGGAAAUCACUGAACCCUUCCCUACGUGAAUCUACUCUGUACUCUGUCAUCCUUACCGUUGCUGGCGACUGAUGAUGCUAACUUCCAUUUCAAUCUGGUGUUCCCGGAAAUAGAAGGGUUGCCGCAUUGAGCUACCAACGCAAGCUAUUGGAAAGGUUAAUAAGGCAAGUGGUUGUGUCGAGACGAUUAAACGCAACCUAUCGGAUUAGAAAAGAAUGAGCUGCUGGUCAUGAAUAAAUUAAGGAUUGUCAACAUGCUUUUCCACACUUUCGAGGCUUUAGAAUCCAAAACAGGGGUUCGGUUUAGGUUUGAAGACAAGAGAUUUGUAAAUCAUUUUAAACGUUUGUUGUGGUUUAUCUGUCAUUUCAAUAUGGUUAUUAGAUACAGCUCGUUUCAUGUUCAAGAAAAAAACAACUAAAUCUGUUUUAAUUGUAGCAAACAAUGUAUCAGUUUAAUGAUAAUAAGUAAUAAUACGUAAAUAAUUUUUCAAUUUCCCUUAAUAUUAAUUUUAAUAUCCCACUAACUCAAUUUGACAAACUCAUUAUUGUAUUUUAAAAUAGCAAACAGUUACCAAGACACACAUUGAAUUUAAAGAGUCUAAAUAAGAAAAAAACUGAUUUCAACCAAUUUUGUGCAUUCCCGUAACAUCCAGCAGAAUUACAAAGCAUGCCUCAAAACUUCAGAAACAAAAAAUAAAACAACUUUGAUAGUUCAAUUCA
Molecule: long non-coding RNA, 3073 nt
Organism: Anopheles gambiae (African malaria mosquito)
Lineage: Eukaryota; Metazoa; Arthropoda; Insecta; Diptera; Culicidae
Exons: 2
Source: RefSeq, a predicted model, not a curated record